RNAcentral lists this transfer RNA (86 nucleotides) under Candidatus Portnoybacteria bacterium CG_4_8_14_3_um_filter_44_15. RNAcentral's name for it is "tRNA-Leu". It matches the Rfam family "tRNA". From Rfam's summary of the family: Transfer RNA (tRNA) molecules are approximately 80 nucleotides in length. Their secondary structure includes four short double-helical elements and three loops (D, anti-codon, and T loops). The record is from RNAcentral. Lineage: Bacteria; Candidatus Portnoyibacteriota.
GCCCGGGUGGUGAAAUGGUAUACACGCAACACUUAAAAUGUUGUGGAAGUGAUUCCGUGCCGGUUCGAGUCCGGCCCCGGGCACAA